ACUUGCUUACACUUCACUGCCCAGGAGCAAAUGCUUCAUGUCAUAAUCCCCUGUGGACUGAAUCCGAAUGAGUUUCUCACCAUUCAAGAGGAAAAGCCAGAGAGAACCAACAAUAGUAACACAGGCAUUUUCAAGAUGCAGAUGACUCCAAAAUUGGCACAUUCGUAUCCUGAAGUUACCUGCAGGAAAAGUAGAUAGUUUCUGGAAUGUUUAUGCCUCUACUUAUAGUGAGCCUUUCAACUUAGACUGAAUUACAUCACCAGCUUCCCUGGUUCUCCUGCUUGCAGAUGGCAGAUUCUUGGCUUCAUAAUCCUGUCUUUCUCCAGAAUUCAGACAACUCUGAAAACCCAAGUCUGUUGCUAGAAGAUAUCUUACUCUAAGAACACACUUUAUUUCAGACAGUGGGAGGUGAAAGACAGAUGAUGGAUAGUAGACUGAGAUGAAAAAAAAAAAAAAAACCCAGACUGGCAGAAAGAAGUUCCUCAGAAAAGAAAGAACAAGGAAUAUGGUUAAUGUUUGGUGGCUGUUGCAACAGAGCUAACAAAUUAGAUUGAUAUUAUCAAAUACUGUUGGUCGUGUGAGACAAUGGAUACCUUCAUAUACACUUUUUGGGAAUUUAACAUGGUGAAGAGUUUUUAAAACUGCAAACAGAUUCUACUAGCAAAACUGGUCUCACUCUGUCACCCAGUCUGAAGUAUAUGAUCGUG
RNAcentral lists this long non-coding RNA (707 nucleotides) under Homo sapiens (human). RNAcentral's name for it is "HSALNT0304571". The record is from RNAcentral. Lineage: Eukaryota; Metazoa; Chordata; Mammalia; Primates; Hominidae.